This 381-nucleotide ribosomal RNA is filed under the name uncultured eukaryote. RNAcentral describes it as "partial 18S ribosomal RNA". It matches the Rfam family "Eukaryotic small subunit ribosomal RNA", at positions 592 to 976 of the family's 1831-position model. The record is from RNAcentral.
CAAUAGCGUAUAUUGAAGUUGUUGCGGUAAAAAAGCUCGUAGUUGGAUUUCUACCGAAGAUAGCCGGUCGGGUCUUCGACCUUGUAUCUGGUUUUGUCUUUGGUAUCCUCAUAGGGAACGUUUCUGCGCUUUAUUGCGUGGUGCGGUAUCUAUGACUUUUACUUUGAGGAAAUUAGAGUGUUCACGGCAGGCAAACGCCUUGAAUAUAUUAGCAUGGAAUAAUAACAUAGGAUCUUCGUCCUAUUUUGUUGGUUUCUAGGGCUAAGAUAAUGAUUAAUAGGGAUAAUUGGGGGCAUCUGUAUCAACGCGUCAGAGGUGGAAUUCUUGGAUUGCGUUGCGACAAACUACUGCGAAAGCAUUUGCCAAGGAUGUUUUCAUUGA